UACAGAGGAGCCAAGCGUUGUCCGGAUUGACUGGGCGUAAAGCGCACGCAGGCGGUCGUGCGCGUGGGGUGUGAAAUCUGGCCGCUUAACGGCCAGGCGCCAUCCCAUACGGCACGACUGGAGGGCUGCAGAGGUCGAUGGAAUUGCCGGUGUAGUGGUGAAAUGCGUAGAGAUCGGCAGGAACACCCAGGGGGAAACCAGUCGACUGGGCAGCACCUGACGCUGAGGUGCGAGAGCGUGGGGAGCGAACCGG
RNAcentral lists this ribosomal RNA (253 nucleotides) under uncultured bacterium. RNAcentral's name for it is "partial 16S ribosomal RNA". It matches the Rfam family "Bacterial small subunit ribosomal RNA", at positions 524 to 776 of the family's 1533-position model. The record is from RNAcentral.